Molecule: unclassified non-coding RNA, 405 nt
Filed under: soil metagenome
Description: partial contains 5.8S ribosomal RNA, internal transcribed spacer 2, and large subunit ribosomal RNA
Rfam family: 5.8S ribosomal RNA (bases 1-121)
Source: RNAcentral
GAUGAAGAACGUAGCGAAAUGCGAUAGGUAGUGUGAAUUGCAGAUGUAACGUGAAUCAUCGAAUCUUUGAACGCAAAUUGCACUCUCUGGUAUUCCGGGGAGUAUGCCUGUUUGAGGGUCGCCAAAUCAACAUCGAAAUUCAUUUGCUUUUGUAAAUGUUUAUCGGAUUUGAGCCGUCUUUUAUUUUUUUAAUUAAAGUGGCUUAAAAUGUAUUUUUUUGGUAUCGAAAAACGUUAUUUUACGAUCAAAUUGAUUAAAAAAACAAACGUUUCGAAUGCCGUCUUUUAAUGUAAUACGCUUGACUGUGGUGUUAUUCAUAGUUUCAUUCGUAUACGAUUUUUUAAUUUUUGACCUCAAAUCAGGUAAGAACACCCGCUGAACUUAAGCAUAUCAAUAAGCGGAGGA